CGCGGGAUUGGGGCACGGGGGGACGGGGUGCAGCAGGCGCGAAACCUUUACAAUGCACGAAAGUGUGAUAAGGGAACCCAAAGUGCUUAGUUUAGCUAGGCUUUUGCCAAGAGUAAAUAUCUUGGAGAAUAAGUGGUGGGUAAGACUGGUGCCAGCCGCCGCGGUAAUACCAGCGCCACGAGUGGGAACUGUAAUUAUUGGGCCUAAAGCGUUCGUAGCCGGUUUGAUAAAUUUCUUGUGAAACUGUUGAGCUUAACUUAACAACGUGCAGGAAAGACUGUCAGACUUGGGACUGGGAGGAGCUAGAAGUAUCUUUAGGGUAGCGGUAAAAUGUUAUAAUCCUAAAGAGACUACCUAUGGCGAAAGCAUCUAGCCAGAACAGGUCCGACGGUGAGGAACGAAAGCUAGGGGAGCAAAACGGAUUAGAUACCCGAGUAGUCCUAGCCAUAAACGCUGCGAGCAAGAUGUUGCAUAUUCUUCGUGAAUAUGCAGUAUCGAAGAAGAGUCGUUAAGCUCGCCGCCUGGGAAGUAUGGUCGCAAGACUGAAACUAAAAGGAAUUGGCGGGGGAGCACUACAAGGGGUGCGGCGUGCGGUUUAAUCUACUCANNCGCAGAGAAUCUCACCAGCAGCGACGGCAGGAUGAAAGUCAGAUUAAAGGUUUUACUUGACGAGCCGAGAGGUAGUGCAUGGCCGCCGUCAGCUCGUUCCGUAAGGUGUCCUGUUAAGUCAGGCAACGAGCGAGACCUGUACCUACAAUUGCCAGCGGCAGAUUUAUCUGGACUGGGCACAUUGUAGGAACUGCCCUGGAAACAGGGAGGAAAGUGCAGGCUACGGUAGGUCUGUAUGCUCCGAAUCUGCUGGGCUACACGCGCGCAACAAUGGUAGAGACAAUGGGCUGCGACUCUGAAAAGAGAAGCUAAUCCUCGAAACUCUAUCUUAGUUCAGAUUGAGGAUUGUAACUCAUCCUCAUGACGCUGGAAUCCCUAGUAAUCAGGUUUUAUCAUAGCCUGGUGAAUAUGUCCCUGCUCCUUGCACGAAUUCGCCGAAUCACUAGU
This 1056-nucleotide ribosomal RNA is filed under the name uncultured crenarchaeote. Its description in RNAcentral is "bacterial SSU rRNA". It matches the Rfam family "Archaeal small subunit ribosomal RNA", at positions 290 to 1362 of the family's 1478-position model. The record is from RNAcentral. Lineage: Archaea; Thermoproteati; Thermoproteota.